AAAUCNGGGGCGACGGCGGCGGUGGUCGACGCGCUGGAGCGAUCCAGGGUGCCCUACGGGUUCCAGCCUGGUAUCCUUCAGAGGCAGCGGCCCAGCGCCCUCGCGGAACUGGGCCGGGGCCUGGUCCAACCCUUANAANCGGNGCUAAUACCGGAUGUCCUCGCCGAAGCUCAUGCUUUGGUGAGGAAAUGGAUUCCGCUUCGGGAUGGCCUCGCGAGCCUAUCAGCUUGUUGGUGAGGUAACGGGGGGGGGGGGCUUCGACGGGUAGCUGGUCUGAGAGGAUGUCCAGCCACACUGGGACUGAGACACGGCCCAGACUCCUACGGGAGGCAGCAGUGGGGAAUAUUGCACAAUGGGCGCAAGCCUGAUGCAGCGACGCCGCGUGCGGGAUGACGGCCUUAGGGUUGUAAACCGCUU
This 417-nucleotide ribosomal RNA is filed under the name uncultured Actinomycetes bacterium. RNAcentral describes it as "bacterial SSU rRNA". It matches the Rfam family "Bacterial small subunit ribosomal RNA", at positions 34 to 435 of the family's 1533-position model. The record is from RNAcentral. Lineage: Bacteria; Bacillati; Actinomycetota; Actinomycetes.